GUGCCAGACUCCUACGGGAGGCAGCAGUGGGGAAUAUUGCACAAUGGGGGAAACCCUGAUGCAGCAACGCCGCGUGAGUGAAGAAGUAUUUCGGUAUGUAAAGCUCUAUCAGCAGGGAAGAAAAUGACGGUACCUGAGUAAGAAGCCCCGGCUAACUACGUGCCAGCAGCCGCGGUAAUACGUAGGGGGCAAGCGUUAUCCGGAUUUACUGGGUGUAAAGGGAGCGCAGGCGGCGCGUUAAGCCUGGUGUGAAAGCCCGCGGCCCAACCGCGGGACUGCAUUGGGAACUGGCGCGCUGGAGUGCCGGAGGGGUAGGCGGAAUUCCUAGUGUAGCGGUGAAAUGCGUAGAUAUUAGGAGGAACACCAGUGGCGAAGGCGGCUUACUGGACUGUAACUGACGUUGAGGCUCGAAAGCGUGGGGAGCAAACAGGAUUAGAUACCCCGGUA
Molecule: ribosomal RNA, 447 nt
Filed under: uncultured bacterium
Lineage: Bacteria
Description: bacterial SSU rRNA
Rfam family: Bacterial small subunit ribosomal RNA
Source: RNAcentral